Sinocyclocheilus grahami is the source of this 91-nucleotide long non-coding RNA. RefSeq lists it as uncharacterized. NCBI's taxonomy places the organism in Eukaryota, Metazoa, Chordata, Actinopteri, Cypriniformes, Cyprinidae. The transcript is spliced from 4 exons. The record is from RefSeq and is a predicted model, not a curated record.
CAAAUAUGCAAACAUGCAAAACAUGCAAGAAGAGGCAAAUUCGGUGUUCAAGCGCUUUGAAACGUGUCCCUCUGCGUGCGCCCUGUGCGCA